GCGAGGGUUGCCCAGCCAGGCCAAAGGCGUCGGACUUAAGAUCCGAUAUCGAAGGAUUUCGUGGGUUCGAAUCCCACCCCUCGCAC
RNAcentral lists this transfer RNA (86 nucleotides) under Methanosarcina mazei. RNAcentral describes it as "tRNA-Leu". It matches the Rfam family "tRNA". From Rfam's summary of the family: Transfer RNA (tRNA) molecules are approximately 80 nucleotides in length. Their secondary structure includes four short double-helical elements and three loops (D, anti-codon, and T loops). Further hydrogen bonds mediate the characteristic L-shaped molecular structure. tRNAs have two regions of fundamental functional importance: the anti-codon, which is responsible for specific mRNA codon recognition, and the 3' end, to which the tRNAs corresponding amino acid is attached (by aminoacyl-tRNA synthetases). tRNAs cope with the degeneracy of the genetic code in two manners: having more than one tRNA (with a specific anti-codon) for a particular amino acid; and 'wobble' base-pairing, i.e. permitting non-standard base-pairing at the 3rd anti-codon position. Lineage: Archaea; Methanobacteriati; Methanobacteriota; Methanomicrobia; Methanosarcinales; Methanosarcinaceae. The record is from RNAcentral.